This 484-nucleotide ribosomal RNA is filed under the name uncultured bacterium. Its description in RNAcentral is "partial 16S ribosomal RNA". It matches the Rfam family "Bacterial small subunit ribosomal RNA", at positions 30 to 507 of the family's 1533-position model. The record is from RNAcentral.
AUUGAACGCUGGCGGCAGGCCUAACACAUGCAAGUCGAGCGGAUGAAGGGAGCUUGCUCCUGUCUUCAGCGGCGGACGGGCGAGUAAUGCCUAGGAAUCUGCCUGGUAUAGGGGGAUAACGUCCGGAAACGGGCGCUAAUACCGCAUACGUCCUGAGGGAGAAAGUGGGGGAUCUUCGGACCUCACGGUAUCAGAUGAGCCUAGGUCGGAUUAGCUAGUUGGUGGGGUAAAGGCCUACCAAGGCGACGAUCCGUAACUGGUCUGAGAGGGUGAUCGGUCACACUGGAACUGAGACACGGUCCAGACUCCUACGGGAGGCAGCAGUGGGGAAUAUUGGACAAUGGGCGAAAGCCUGAUCCAGUCAUGCCGCGUGUGUGAAGAAGGUCUUCGGAUUGUAAAGCACUUUAAGUAGGGAGGAAGGGCAGUAAGUUAAUACCUUGCUGUUUUGACGUUACCAACAGAAUAAGCACCGGCUAACUUCGUG